Molecule: ribosomal RNA, 407 nt
Filed under: uncultured bacterium
Lineage: Bacteria
Description: partial 16S ribosomal RNA
Rfam family: Bacterial small subunit ribosomal RNA
Source: RNAcentral
AUUGAACGCUAGCGGGAUGCCUUACACAUGCAAGUCGAACGGAGUGGCGAACGGGUGCGUAAUGUAUCGGAACGUGCCCAGUAGCGGGGGAUAACUACGCGAAAGCGUAGCUAAUACCGCAUACUAUUGGAGCGGCCGCUAUCGGAUUAGCUAGUGGGUGGGGAAACGGCUCACCAAGGCGACGAUCCGUAGCUGGUUUGAGAGGACGACCAGCCACACUGGGACUAAGACACGGCCCAGACUGCUACGGGGGGCAGGAGUGGGGAAUUUUGGACAAUGGGGGAAACCCUAAUCCAGCCAUACCGCGUGUGCGAUGAAGGCCUGCGGGUUGUAAAGCACUUUUGGCAGGAAAGCGGUACCUGCAGAAUAAGCACCGGCUAACUACGUGCCAGCAGCCGCGGUAAUUC